GACACAGUUUGCUGCAGUGAUCAUGAUGUCCUUCAAGACUGCACUGGCUCUGCUUCUUCUAGCCAUGUUCAGCAUGGUUGCCGAAUCAUCAUGGGGCAACGGGAAAGGAAAUUCUUACAAUUAUGACCUUUCCAAAAUGUCUGAUCUGAGGAAACUAUACAACUCCAAAGUUUUCAAGGCAGAGAGAAUGACCAGGCCUCUGGAGGGCAUGUCUUUCCAAGUCGGCGUACUCAGUCACUCCGGAGUUAGGCAAGUGAUCAGUUUUGUAACUGUAUUUUAUGCGUGGUGAAUAAAACAUAUUGAGUAGAUUGAGAAUGCCUUGAUUGUCUUGCAUGUUUUCUGUUGGUCCUGCUUUUAGAGUGACUAUAGAAGACGGCACUAUAUGGCUGGUUCAUAAAGGAGAUGGCUAUGGUAUCUCAUCACAGACCGUUGUGGUGGCUGCCCGUCAUAUGAGCAGUAACUGGAAGAUUGUCGAGACUAAAAAUUUCGGUGGAAGCAAGACGGUAUCUGAUUUUGUGAAGGCUGGAGGAACAGACUACAAACUUUUGUUUGAUAACUGCCAUGAUGCCGCAAACCGGAUGAUGGGUGGUUAAAUAUACUAUAAAAAAACUACACUGAAGCCUAAAUGGUUUUCUUGUGAAGAGAACAUUACUUUUACAAAAAACAUUUUGUUAAUGUACCUUUUUAUUGAAUGUUUUUCAAAUGUAUGAUUGUGUAUAGAUGUGUGUUGAAUAUUAGUAUCUUUUGACGUUUUAAAAAUGUCCGACUCAAUAAUAAUGGACUUGAUAUUAAAACAUACCUGCAGGUGGCGACAGAGGUUCAUGUGUCCAUUUGCUUAUCCAGAAGGUAAACAGAUUUUAGUGAUUGAUUGUUGUAUGAAUAUUGCACAUGUACACAAUAAAAUAAGCACCUAGUUAUAAAAAGCAAA
Danio rerio (zebrafish) is the source of this 928-nucleotide non-coding RNA. The record is from Ensembl. Lineage: Eukaryota; Metazoa; Chordata; Actinopteri; Cypriniformes; Danionidae.